CGAUUUUCUCGCGUCUCAGUCCUCAGUCUGCUUCCGUCGCUGACAUAGGUCAGGGAAGCUGGUCCCGCGACGCUUCAUAUAUUGAUCAUUGAUACUGAUAUCCGAGAUAACAGUAUCGAAUCGAAAUAGUAGAUCCUAAGAAAAGUGUCAUCGUUGCCCCGGCGUUGCACGUCGGCAGAAAUUGCUUCAGUCCAAUCUCCGACCCUGCUGACUCUUCAACAGGUGGCCGAAAUCGAUCUCUCACGUAUAACAGUGGACUGAUCCUUUAAUUCACGGCCCAUGGAUCGACGCUGCUGGCGAAUACUUCGCUUCGGAAUUUCUUCCGGAUAAUUCCCCGAAUCGCAUUACCGACGAGGUAGAGGCGACCAGGGAGAGUAGAAAGUUCUCUUUCUUUUUUCGAAGGAAAGCAACAUAAUGGAUACCCACAACACAACUGCAGCUAAUAACCUGUCGGAGGACAUGAUGUCGAAUCUGAUGGUGCAGAUAGUGUUCUACGUGAUCUACAGUAUUAUCUUCAUACUGGGACUAUUCGGUAACGUGUUGGUGAUCUUUGUCGUCGGGCGAAACCAUCGUAUGCACACCGUUACCAAUCUCUUCAUUGCGAAUCUCGCGCUCAGUGACAUGCUGCUGUGCUUGUUGGCUGUACCCUUUACACCUCUGUACACUUUCCUAGGCGGUUGGGUUUUCGGUAAAACUCUCUGCCAUUUGGUACCCUACAGUCAGGCCGUAAGUGUGUAUAUCAGCACGCUCACACUGACAAGCAUAGCAGUCGACCGGUUUUUAGUAAUCAUCUAUCCGUUCCAAGCGCGUAUGAAGAUCAAGAUGUGCCUAGUGAUCAUCAUGGGCAUUUGGUUGAUCGCGUCACUGAUUACCUUGCCGUUCGGCCUCUACAUGCAUAUAGUGCAGGAAAAGCAUACCUUCUGGUGCGCGGAGAAUUGGCCUAGCGAGUCAUUUCGCAAGAUAUUCAGUUCGCUGACUUCGAUACUGCAGUUUGUCGUGCCGUUUUUCGUGAUUGCUUUUUGCUACAUAUGUGUGUCAAUCAAAUUGAACGACCGGGCGCGCGCUAAACCCGGUAGCAAGUCCAGCAAGCGUGAGGAAGAGGAUCGCGAGAGAAAGCGCCGGACAAACCGAAUGUUGAUCGCCAUGGUCUCGGUAUUCGGUGUAUGCUGGUUGCCGCUGAACAUCGCCCUCAUUAUUGCUGACUUCUAUACAGAUGUUUACUACGUCUGGCCCUACUUUCGGUUCUACUUCUUCAUAUCGCAUUGCAUCGCAAUGAGCAGCACCUGCUACAAUCCAUUCCUGUAUGCCUGGCUCAAUGACAAUUUCCGGAAGGAAUUUAAACAGGUCCUUCCGUGUUAUACAAGAAAUGGCAAUGGCAACAUUCCGAGGGCCAAAGAGACCGUGAGCAGAGGUGACAGAAUGGAUAACGGUAAUAAUACCAUGCAAGAAACAUUCCUGAACAGUACGAAAGCACAGACUAUCGAAGGAUGUGAGAUGACAACGCUGGUGCUGGACAAGACAACGAAUAUGAGAAGACAGUCAAAUCAGCCCUCGUGCUCGAGGGAUUCCGACGAUGCUCUGUAAGGGAAAGCGCAAAAGUGUAAGUCGCAAGAGGGUCUGCUUCGCUUUCUAAUAUAUGAAAAUCUUUCAAACAAUCUUCUGACAAGAUGUUAGAUUAAACACUUUAUAUAAUGACAAAAAUUUUAAUUUAGUGAUUUUUUGGCAUUUUCUAACAAAAAUUUAUAUGCAAACACUAUUAAGAUUGUAACGUUCCUGACCACUUGUAUUUUCAAUAAAGAACAUGAGCCCAUUUUGAAAAUAAUAUCACUAACAGAGAUAAAAAUCGGCAGAAGAACAAAAAGUUUUGCACUAUAACAAGCUAAAGAACGCAUCAAUCAUGAAGAAUAUCGAUUUUCUUUCGGGCAUGGAAGACUAAAUCAGCAAGCUGACCAGCAUCGAUCGAAGAGAUACAAGAUUAAUCAUGCAAGAGACGAUUAAUUUCUGCAAAAUUUUUUGAAGAGAAAGACAUAUUUUAUGCAGUUGGAAUAACAGGUUAAUUAGCAAUGAGAGGCCCAGAAUUGUGUCGACAGUCAUUAUCACUCUCUAAAGAAUGACUGCUUUUUCUUUAAUAAUUAUAAAUUGAAUCUGUCAAAUUUGAUAAAAAAAUUAUUCUGUAUUUUUUUAAUGGCUGAAUAGAUUAUGUAAAUUUUAAGUCAA
RNAcentral lists this unclassified non-coding RNA (2217 nucleotides) under Monomorium pharaonis (pharaoh ant). Its description in RNAcentral is "prolactin-releasing peptide receptor, transcript variant X2". Lineage: Eukaryota; Metazoa; Arthropoda; Insecta; Hymenoptera; Formicidae. The record is from RNAcentral.